This 1055-nucleotide long non-coding RNA is filed under the name Citrus sinensis (sweet orange). Its description in RNAcentral is "long non-coding RNA (CSIN_LNC001989)". Lineage: Eukaryota; Viridiplantae; Streptophyta; Magnoliopsida; Sapindales; Rutaceae. The record is from RNAcentral.
AUCUAGCCCCUCUUCUAACUGAAGGCCCUCAUCUUCUACUUGACUAGCUUAUAAUGUAGGUCAACAUUGAGCCUUUAACGGGAUACCUCCAUCUCUAUGCCCAACAUAUCCUCAUGCGACUAGGCAAAUACGUCACUAAACUCUUGCAAAAAGGUGAUCAAUUGCUCUUUGUUUUACUCCGUGAGAUGGGCGCCAACGUUGACACCCUUUGUGGGGUUAUCUUCCUUAAUAAGUAUAGAAACAAGGUUUUCUGAUGGCAUACCCCAGUUUUCUUCCUUAGUGAUUUAUGGAUCUAAUGGCACUUCAAUCAAUUCUGGUGAAUCAUUGCAAUUAUUGCCCUUGGAGCUUGUGGAGAUCAAUAGAGUCAACCUACAUGGAGGUUUCCUCACUAUGGUAUUCUUUUGAUACCAACUUCAUUGUUUUUUUUUCCAAGCAUUUCCUAUUUCUUUUUAUAAUAGCACGCCUGGUCAUUUUAGCGAGAAAAAUGGUGAUUUUCUCAUUGGAGGCUAUUUCAUAGCUAACCUUUGAUGUUGUUGUGUAAAAUUAGUGAGCAAUCUGUUGAUCUCCUUUGAUGAUGAACACAAAUUUUAGAGUUAGGGAUUUUCACAACAAGGUAGUGCAUGGAAAUAGCUACUCUAGUGGUAGCUAGAAAUGGUAGACCCAAAAUAAUGUUAUAGGCCUGUGGGUUAUCCACCACUACGAAAUUGAUACCAGUCGGGGUCUGUUGAGUGUUAGAAAAUGUAUAUUUAUAAAGGAGAAAAUCGUCAUUUUACAUUUCAAGUCUUACUAACACUCUUACUUUUAUGUAUUUAACCUUCUUGUGAUUUAAUUACGUGUGUUUUAUUUUAAUUAAGUAUUUUAUGUAUUUUAGGGGCAUCAUGGUCAUUUCACAAUGAAUGAGAAAUCAAACGGCAAAACGGACAUCACUUUUGAACUCAGGACGGUCGAAAACCUUAGAAGGAGCCUAAAAAGAAAAAUGGUAUUGUUCACAUGUACGGUACUAUUCACAUGUACGGUACCGUCUGUUACUGUUCAUGACACUGUUCACAUAGACG